RNAcentral lists this unclassified non-coding RNA (181 nucleotides) under Cortinarius cyprinus. Its description in RNAcentral is "partial internal transcribed spacer 2". Lineage: Eukaryota; Fungi; Basidiomycota; Agaricomycetes; Agaricales; Cortinariaceae. RNAcentral also lists the same sequence under 1 other name. The record is from RNAcentral.
AUAUAUAUAUCAACCUUCACUUGUUGAAUGGUUUGGAUGUGGGGGUUUGCUGGACUCUUGAAGGGUUCAGCUCCUCUGAAAUGCAUUAGCAGAACAAUCUGUUCAUUGGUGUGAUAACUAUCUACGCUCUUGAAUAAGAUGCAGUUCAGCUUUCUAACUGUCCUUGGACAAUUUAUCAUUU